AGGAACAUUCAACGCUGUCGGUGAGUUUUGGUGAAAAAUUAAACCAUCGACCGUUGACUGUACCU
Eptatretus burgeri (inshore hagfish) is the source of this 65-nucleotide microRNA precursor. Lineage: Eukaryota; Metazoa; Chordata; Myxini; Myxiniformes; Myxinidae. The record is from Ensembl.